This 481-nucleotide ribosomal RNA is filed under the name uncultured organism. RNAcentral describes it as "bacterial SSU rRNA". It matches the Rfam family "Bacterial small subunit ribosomal RNA", at positions 28 to 507 of the family's 1533-position model. The record is from RNAcentral.
GACGAACGCUGGCGGCGUGCCUAACACAUGCAAGUCGAGCGGGGUUGGCAGCAGUUAGCUUGCUAACAGCAGUCAACCCAGCGGCGGACGGGUGAGUAACGCGUGAGCAACCAACCUUGUACAGGGGGAUAACAGGUGGAAACACCUGCUAAUACCGCAUAAGACCCCGGCACUGCAUGGUGCUGAGGUAAAAGGAGGAAACUCCGGUACGAGACGGGCUCGCGUCCCAUUAGCUGGUUGGUGGGGUGACGGCCUACCAAGGCGACGAUGGGUAGCCGGCCUGAGAGGGUGUACGGCCACACUGGGACUGAGACACGGCCCAGACUCCUACGGGAGGCAGCAGUGGGGGAUAUUGCGCAAUGGGGGGAACCCUGACGCAGCGACGCCGCGUGAGCGAAGAAGGCCUUCGGGUCGUAAAGCUCUGUCUUUGGGGAAGAAUAAGAUGACGGUACCCAAGGAGGAAGCCCCGGCUAACUACGUG